RNAcentral lists this ribosomal RNA (180 nucleotides) under uncultured Glomeromycotina. RNAcentral describes it as "partial small subunit ribosomal RNA". Lineage: Eukaryota; Fungi; Glomeromycota. The record is from RNAcentral.
GGUCUGGCUGGCGGGUCCGCCUCACCGCGUGCACUUGUCCGGCCGGGCCUUUCCUUCUGGAGAACCUCAUGCCCUUCACUGGGCGUGUUGGGGAACCAGGACUUUUACUUUGAAAAAAUUAGAGUGUUCAAAGCAGGCAUGUGCCGGAAUAAUUGCGCUGGGAAUAAUGGAAUAGGACCU